This 515-nucleotide unclassified non-coding RNA is filed under the name Hevea brasiliensis (rubber tree). Lineage: Eukaryota; Viridiplantae; Streptophyta; Magnoliopsida; Malpighiales; Euphorbiaceae. The record is from RNAcentral.
GUGCAAAACUUGACUUUAGGUGCUUUGGAUAAUAGUUUCUUGGUUAAUGAUUUGGGUGUUCAAGUUUAUAGGAAUUAUCAUAAAGGCAUUUAUGGGAAGGGUAUUUGUGUGAAAUUUGAUAAUAGAAGUGGAGCUAGUUCGGAGCAAUCUACCCCUAAAAAGGCAAUGCUUAUGAGGGCAGAAACGAAUAUGAUGUUAAUGAGUCCAUUAAAGGGAGGGAAGCCAAAUUCAACAGGAAUUCAGCAGCUUGAUAUUGAAACGGGAAAGAUUGUGACAGAGUGGAAGUUUGGGAAAGAUGGGACUGAGAUUACAAUGAAAGAUGUAACAAAUGAUACUAAAGGGUCUCAAUUGGACCCAUCCGAGAGUACCUUUCUGGGUUUGGAUGAUAAUAGGUUAUGUCAAUGGGAUAUGAGAGAUAAGAGAGGGGUGGUGCAGAGUAUUGGGGGUGAUUCUCCAGUUUUGCAUUGGAGUCAGGGGCAUCAGUUCUCAAGAGGGACUAAUUUUCAAUGCUUUGC